Molecule: non-coding RNA, 201 nt
Organism: Paramuricea clavata
Lineage: Eukaryota; Metazoa; Cnidaria; Anthozoa; Malacalcyonacea; Plexauridae
Source: the annotation of a GenBank genome assembly
CAGCCCUUUUAGCAAAUACUCUGUUUUCUUCCCACGUAAAGGUGCAGACACACCGGACACGAUUCGACAACGCGACGCGAUUUUUCGAUAUUCAUUGACCGAUAACUUUGAUCCAAGUUUAAAUUUUCCAAAUAUUGAGAAGCGUUAUAACAUUUUGAGUUAUUUGGUCUACAUAUGUUUUAAAAUUUGCUCUCAUUGGCU